AGUGAACGCUGACGGUAGGCCUAACACAUGCGAGUCGAACGGCAGCACAGUAAGAGCUUGCUCUUACGGGUGGCGAGUGGCGGACGGGUGAGGAAUACAUCGGAAUCUACUUUUUCGUGGGGGAUAACGUAGGGAAACUUACGCUAAUACCGCAUACGACCUACGGGUGAAAGCAGGGGAUCUUCGGACCUUGCGCGAUUGAAUGAGCCGAUGUCGGAUUAGCUAGUUGGCGGGGUAAAGGCCCACCAAGGCGACGAUCCGUAGCUGGUCUGAGAGGAUGAUCAGCCACACUGGAACUGAGACACGGUCCAGACUCCUACGGGAGGCAGCAGUGGGGAAUAUUGGACAAUGGGCGCAAGCCUGAUCCAGCCAUACCGCGUGGGUGAAGAAGGCCUUCGGGUUGUAAAGCCCUUUUGUUGGGAAAGAAAAGCAGCAGGUUAAUACCCCGCUGUUCUGACGGUACCCAAAGAAUAAGCACCGGCUAACUUCGUG
Molecule: ribosomal RNA, 492 nt
Filed under: uncultured bacterium
Lineage: Bacteria
Description: partial 16S ribosomal RNA
Rfam family: Bacterial small subunit ribosomal RNA
Source: RNAcentral